RNAcentral lists this ribosomal RNA (1498 nucleotides) under Ligilactobacillus animalis. RNAcentral describes it as "Lactobacillus animalis partial 16S rRNA". It matches the Rfam family "Bacterial small subunit ribosomal RNA". The record is from RNAcentral. Lineage: Bacteria; Bacillati; Bacillota; Bacilli; Lactobacillales; Lactobacillaceae.
GCUCAGGAUGAACGCUGGCGGCGUGCCUAAUACAUGCAAGUCGAACGAAACUUCUUUAUCACCGAGUGCUUGCACUCACCGAUAAAGAGUUGAGUGGCGAACGGGUGAGUAACACGUGGGCAACCUGCCCAAAAGAGGGGGAUAACACUUGGAAACAGGUGCUAAUACCGCAUAACCAUAGUUACCGCAUGGUAACUAUGUAAAAGGUGGCUAUGCUACCGCUUUUGGAUGGGCCCGCGGCGCAUUAGCUAGUUGGUGAGGUAAAGGCUUACCAAGGCAAUGAUGCGUAGCCGAACUGAGAGGUUGAUCGGCCACAUUGGGACUGAGACACGGCCCAAACUCCUACGGGAGGCAGCAGUAGGGAAUCUUCCACAAUGGGCGAAAGCCUGAUGGAGCAACGCCGCGUGGGUGAAGAAGGUCUUCGGAUCGUAAAACCCUGUUGUUAGAGAAGAAAGUGCGUGAGAGUAACUGUUCACGUUUCGACGGUAUCUAACCAGAAAGCCACGGCUAACUACGUGCCAGCAGCCGCGGUAAUACGUAGGUGGCAAGCGUUAUCCGGAUUUAUUGGGCGUAAAGGGAACGCAGGCGGUCUUUUAAGUCUGAUGUGAAAGCCUUCGGCUUAACCGGAGUAGUGCAUUGGAAACUGGGAGACUUGAGUGCAGAAGAGGAGAGUGGAACUCCAUGUGUAGCGGUGAAAUGCGUAGAUAUAUGGAAGAACACCAGUGGCGAAAGCGGCUCUCUGGUCUGUAACUGACGCUGAGGUUCGAAAGCGUGGGUAGCAAACAGGAUUAGAUACCCUGGUAGUCCACGCCGUAAACGAUGAAUGCUAAGUGUUGGAGGGUUUCCGCCCUUCAGUGCUGCAGCUAACGCAAUAAGCAUUCCGCCUGGGGAGUACGACCGCAAGGUUGAAACUCAAAGGAAUUGACGGGGGCCCGCACAAGCGGUGGAGCAUGUGGUUUAAUUCGAAGCAACGCGAAGAACCUUACCAGGUCUUGACAUCUUCUGACAAUCCUAGAGAUAGGACUUUCCCUUCGGGGACAGAAUGACAGGUGGUGCAUGGUUGUCGUCAGCUCGUGUCGUGAGAUGUUGGGUUAAGUCCCGCAACGAGCGCAACCCUUAUUGUUAGUUGCCAGCAUUAAGUUGGGCACUCUAGCAAGACUGCCGGUGACAAACCGGAGGAAGGUGGGGAUGACGUCAAAUCAUCAUGCCCCUUAUGACCUGGGCUACACACGUGCUACAAUGGACGGUACAACGAGUCGCAAGACCGCGAGGUUUAGCAAAUCUCUUAAAGCCGUUCUCAGUUCGGAUUGUAGGCUGCAACUCGCCUACAUGAAGUCGGAAUCGCUAGUAAUCGCGGAUCAGCAUGCCGCGGUGAAUACGUUCCCGGGCCUUGUACACACCGCCCGUCACACCAUGAGAGUUUGUAACACCCAAAGCCGGUGGGGUAACCUUUUGGAGCCAGCCGUCUAAGGUGGGACAGAUGAUUGGGGUGAAGUCG